AAAAAGGUUGACGAACAAAAAAAACAAACCGGUCAUUAGGGCUCGGAAAAUGCAUUUACAUGUUUUUUUGGGUAUUUAUUGCUAAGCUAGAAACUGGAACAACGAAAAACAUAUUCAAAGUGUUUUAGUGCAUUUUUUGCAUAUUUAGUGAUUUUGUAGUUUUAAGAAUAUUUGAUGAUAUCCAUAAUACUAUUUAAAAAUUCAGUAAUAAAUAAAUAGAUAUAUUCAUUUUGAAUCUUUUUAC
Molecule: non-coding RNA, 244 nt
Organism: Cinara cedri
Lineage: Eukaryota; Metazoa; Arthropoda; Insecta; Hemiptera; Aphididae
Source: the annotation of a GenBank genome assembly